Diospyros lotus (date-plum) is the source of this 899-nucleotide long non-coding RNA. RefSeq lists it as uncharacterized. Lineage: Eukaryota; Viridiplantae; Streptophyta; Magnoliopsida; Ericales; Ebenaceae. The transcript has 3 exons. The record is from RefSeq and is a predicted model, not a curated record.
CCCAAACACCCUCUAAGCAGUAAAGAGGUAGGUGAAAUCCUGCGGAAUUUUCUUUGUCGUCCUGCUGAUAAUGGAGCUCCGGUUUCAGAAAUGCGUAGCGCGAGAGGGAGAAGACGGGCCAUCGGUUUUGUUUUUGGCUGAAGCGUCAUUUGGGUUGUUGCCUUGUUGGGGAAGACCCAGACGAGGGUUACAUCGGAACACCGAGGAGAAAUUUAGUUUCAACAAGAACGGUGAUGUUGAAAGCUUCCGCUCGUUCACUAUAGGCACGAACUGAGGUUUUAUUCUCCGAGUGCUGCUAUGAGUUUGCUGUACUAAGAUGUUAAUUGAUUCUUGGGAUGUUAAAGGUUUAACUCAGACGGAGAAGUUUCAAUGCUAAUGAUGAUUCCAGCAAGCUAAGAUCAACCAGGGGAAAACAGGGGCGCUGGUUAACAGGUUAAGGUGACUUUGGCAAGUCCCAAGGUGGAGGCAAUUCAGCGGACUAUUCUACACUGUAUCACUAUUCAUCGCUUGGAUGCAAUAGUUGUGGUAUGAUUCUUUGUGAUAUUUUUAAUACUUAGACAUGCUUAUGGAUAUAACACUGACUAUACUAACUUAUGAUUCAUUGACAUAUGAUUGAUAUUGACAUAUGUUACAUUGACAUAUGAUUCACGAAAAAUGCUAGAGAGUUCGACGACCUUACUGAUGGGUUUAUCAAAAGGGGACAAAAAGACUAUUUUGCCCCCACGUCCUGCUCUCCCCCUCCGAUAGAUUCCCUCUUUCUUUGCACGUCUCCCCUGCCUGCCAUGGCCCCCGCUCGCCUCUCCGCCGCGCCUUGCUACAGUCGCCCGGCCUCGUCUUCGUUGCCUCGCCUCGCCGACAGUCGCUACAUCGACUGUCAACGAGGCAACGGAGGCGAGGCG